RNAcentral lists this ribosomal RNA (451 nucleotides) under uncultured bacterium. RNAcentral describes it as "partial 16S ribosomal RNA". It matches the Rfam family "Bacterial small subunit ribosomal RNA", at positions 29 to 523 of the family's 1533-position model. The record is from RNAcentral.
AACGAACGCUGGCGGCAGGCUUAACACAUGCAAGUCGAACGCGUGUAGCAAUACACGAGUGGCGCACGGGUGAGUAACGCGUGGAUAUCUGCCUUUUGGUUCGGAAUAACCCCGGGAAACUGGGGCUAAUACCGGAUGGUUCCUUCGGGAUAAAGAUUUAUCGCCAAAAGAUGAGUCCGCGUCCGAUUAGCUAGUUGGUGAGGUAAUGGCUCACCAAGGCGACGAUCGGUAGCUGGUCUGAGAGGACGAUCAGCCACACUGGGACUGAGACACGGCCCAGACUCCUACGGGAGGCAGCAGUGGGGAAUAUUGGACAAUGGGGGCAACCCUGAUCCAGCCAUGCCGCGUGAGUGAUGAAGGCCUUCGGGUUGUAAAGCUCUUUUGGCGGGGACGAUAAUGACUGUACCGGGAGAAUAAGCCCCGGCUAACUUCGUGCCAGCCGCCGCGGUAA